Molecule: small RNA, 6110 nt
Filed under: Rattus norvegicus (Norway rat)
Lineage: Eukaryota; Metazoa; Chordata; Mammalia; Rodentia; Muridae
Description: uncharacterized LOC108351929
Source: RNAcentral
UAAAACAAAACAAAACCAACAACUCCCUUGAACUCCCAUAAUCCUCCACAAAAAAAAAGAAACAAAAAGAAAUGAACAUUUAUUUUAUUCUAGAAUCAGAAACAUGAAACAGAAUACAGGGAGAAGCCAAUGACAGGGGUUUCUGAGGGUCCAACCCCUACUCCAUGGCACCUUCAGCCUAAGCCUCUCCUGGAGGGUCACUACAUCAUCAUUUUUCUUUCCUUUCCUUGUAGACCCCUGGAUCCAUCUCUGUGUUGAGGCAUCCAAGGGAACAUGUCAGACAUGAUUGAUUAUUUUGUACACAUAUGCACAUUCAUAUCUAGACAGCAAAUCUGGUAAACAUAUACAUCCUAAGCCCACCUAAAAUACAUUUUCUUCUCUGUCAUCAACAGCACAUCCAAUCUUUAUUCCUAUCAGACUUUCCUCAUCGGCCUUGUCUUGUGUUGUUUUCUUCCCUUAUGCCAGGUUGGUUUUCCUUUUUUUAAAGUCUGACAUUACUAAAUAAGAGCUUAGCCUAUAGCCCGGACCAGACAAUUCAUUUACACAUGCAUUACAAAUAAGGCCCAGGCUUGACUGAUCUGUAAACCACCAAUUCCACUUAGCUCUGUUUCCUCUUCUCCAUGCCAUGCCAUUUGUGGUCCUGGAAUCCUCCUAGUUCAUCAAAGCUUCCUUGUCUUCCAAGCCCCGUUCCCCACCUUCACAAUGCUCUUUUCUCUUCUCUGCCAAGUGAACCUGGUACUGAUAAAACCCCAAACCAAAACCAAAACCAAACAAAAAACAAGACAUCAGUUUGUCCUUUCUUAUUGCCAGUCACGUUACUCCACAGGCCUUGUCAUCUGUGCUGCGUCAGUCUGAGCUGCACUUACGACACUUUUGUGAAUUGUGCACUCUCCAGGUGGAUUCAGAGGGAGCAAGGCAGCAUGCUGUCUACAAUCAUAAUGUAUAGUAAACACAGAGUAAAUAUGAAUUCCUGUUCUUCUAUUUCUUCAAUGAUUUACUUUUUAUUUUUCAGGGAAACCAUCUGCACAAUUGUGAUUUACUAUACGAGUGUUUAUUAUUGUUAUCUGAGAUUCUGAAUUUGAAGGUAACAAGAGGCUUAGGUAUCAUUGGUUCCUGGACAUUCUUAUUUUUAAUAAAGCCAAAACAAAUAUUUUCCGUUGUAGUGAUAAGCUGACCGUCCUCAUAAGACCCUCACUACCGAGGUACAGAGAUGUAGUUAAAUUGUAGGCACACCUAGGCCUGGGUUCAGCUGCUAGAACUCCUUUGAACCAUUCUCUAAUAUUCUCUUUAACAUAAAUAGCUAACAAAGUUACAAUUUCUUUAAGGCGUUUAUCGUCCAUAUGAGCAGAUUCUGUAGCUCUUGGAUCCUGCUGUUAUAUCUGUUGCUUCCUCGUCCUAGUUAGCAACAGCUACAAAAUAGGCAGCUUACUUCAUGGGUGUCACAGCUAAACUCACUCCACUUGAGAGUGGCUGAAGUAGCUGGUACUCUUCCAGGCUUUGAGUUUAUCCCUGUGGUGAGAGCUCAGGCUAGCAACAGAGCUGUUCCAAUUAUUUUCGUGAUUCCAACAUCGUCAUGCACAUGUCAGAGAAGGUCACAAUUAUCAAGGAUAGAACAUUUCAUUUUGUGGCUUUAUAUGUGCCAUUGAUUUACAUAACAGUAGGAAGGUAGACUCCUGAAGCAAAUAUUGGAGAUUUUUUGACAUCUACACUUUUCAGAUAAAAACAUCCAAGGCAAGAGCUACCACAGUCCCCUUGAGCAUCACUGCAGGGCAGAGGCCCGAGGCAUAGAUGUUUUAAUUCCUAGUUCUGGAAUUUUCCCACCUAUGGUGAAAUGCCUUCACUGUUCAGAGAUGGGAAUGUAUUUGCUAGCUGCUUUGGGAGUUGUGGCUGUGGUGCCGAGUGACAGAUGAGACAAACCAUCAUGAGUUCCUGGUGCUGCAUAGAUUUCUAUCAGCCUUUGUAGUUAAUUCUCUAACUUUCCUAUAGUCUGUUUCUAGGCAUUCGGAACUGGCAGCUUUUGUCUGAACAGCAUUCUUUGACCUCCUAAUUUCUGAAGUUUUGUUUCAUUUGUAAGCUGUGAUUUAACCUCCUGGAAUCAUGCUGUGAGCUUUCUAAUGAAAUUCAUUAAAAAUACAAUUCACUGAACAAGAAAUCAGACAGGAGUAAAAAUUUUGGUAGGCCACAGGGACCUCAAAUAUCUGUAUUUUUCUCUUAAAUGUGAGCCACAGUAAUUUCUUGGGGGAAACUCUGGCCGCUGUCUCACAUACUUCUGACAAUUUCCAAACAUAUUCUCCUCUCAUGCUCUAAAAACCACAAUGCAAAGGGGAGAUGACCAGUACAGUCACUGGUAGUUCUGCAUAACAUGACAAAUUGCAUGAACUGACAGGAAGGUGAUGAAUACUGCUAACGUGACCCUAAAAAUAGUGAGGGAAUGUUUGCACAUUGACACUUCUCUAAAGGCAGACAGAUAUGCAUGACCUGAGCUCUUAGACAGGUGUCAGAGAUAUUGAUGGGUGGUACGAGGAGGAUCAUUUUCUUGGCAGUGUUGCAGCAGACAGUCUGCAUGAUUAAUGACGUAGCUUAGGCUUUUAUGUUUUCCACCUAGGGCAAAAAGGGAUGUGAACCUUUGUCAUUCCAUGGAAUGUAAGAAUCCUGCCUGAAGGGCAAGAUGGGGGAGCAUUAUACAUCUAAAAGUAUCGUGUUUGUUUGCUGGGUGCAAAAACAGCAGUGAAAAAUACUCACACAUGAUCUCGACACAUGAAAUAGCUCUGCCUAGCGCCUGAUCUGAUCUGGGCUUCUUACCAAAGGCCUCCACCCAGGGCACCAGAGCUUGCACUGUGCGCAGUGUGGAGGGCAGUGUGCUUGGGCUCUGACAAGAGCAGGAGUACACCGUGGCUUUGGGAUGCAUCUGCACAUAAUGCACACUUUGAAUGAAUAUUAAGAACCACUCAAAGAAAACAAAACAGGACUAAGGCAGGAAGCAAGAGGUGAGAUCAUCUGCCUAAUGUUUAUAUUCAUUUCAGGUUCUCAGAGACAAUUUUCUGAUUCAAAUCAAUUCAAUAUUGUUUCUAAAUGCUGAAUCCAGUGAGAAAGAGCUUUUCUUUCCUAAGAAUAAUACUGUUUGCUCAGGUUUUUAAAAUGUCACAUGCAGCAGUGAACGAACUAUGCUAUUUCAGGGCUCAAAAUUAAAUCCGAAAUCUAAUAAUAGUCUCUAGAUGUAUUCUGCUAAACCUUAGGUAGCCAGCCCAUUUACUGAAAAUAUUAUGGUAGGUUAUGGUAACAUGGGCUAUGGAAAUAAGCUACCAAUGUGUGUUUUCUUUUACUUUUUUUCCUUUUAAACAAACAAAGGUACCCUUGGGAAUCAAUUGUCCAUGGACAAUAUUUUAAAUGAGAAAGUAUAUUUAUUUAUUUUGCAAUCAAAGAUUAGGUUAUCAAGAAAACUGAGGAGGUUGAUUUCCCUCAAGAUAAAGUCUCAUUUAUAUGCUAGGAAAGAAGUAGAAAGUAAUUUUGUGAACAUUAGUGACUAGGCUGAUUAUUAUUUUAUUUUUUGUUUAUGAAGAAUGGUGGGUUCAAUGGGAAUGGCUACCAUUGUGGUCCCUAGAUAGUGGGACUGGUUGGGAAGCAUUAGGAGGUGUGGCUUUGUUGGAGAAGGUAUGUCACUGGGCUCAGGCUUUGAGGUUUCAAAAGCCCAUGAUGGUCACAGUUACUUCUUUUUGUCUUGUGGUUGGUUAUGUUUUAAGAUGUGAGCUCUCAGCUACCAUUCUACCACCAUGCUGGCCUGCCUACCACCAUGCUCCCCACCAGGAUGGUAAUAAACUCUUCCAUAAAUGGCUUUGGUCAUAAUGUCUUAUCACAGUAAUAGAAAAGCAACAAAGACACUAUGAGAAAGGAACAGAUUUUGAAUUUAAAAUUCCUCUUCUUACAUGCUAGGAAGGUUUAUGUGUUUCUCUUAAUUGUUAAAAUCUCUCAAUAAAAUCCGGUAUCCAGAAAUGUGGGAGUGAAAAGUUCUGUCUUAUCUGGAAUAUGCUCUUAACAUCUUCAGUGUAAGAACUUGACUUGGCAUGUAAUUACGCUAAGAUUUUCUCAUGAUUGUUUUCUCAUUGCCUAGUAAUAUUGCUUUCAGCUAGUAUACUUUAUACUCCAUGCAUGUUGACUCUAGUAGUGGCCUUCUCUUUGUUACAAUAGAAACAUUUUGUCAUAAACAACUCUCACUGCUCUGGAAGUUUGAAUAAAACUUAAGCUAAUGAAUAGGAAGUAGAAUUACUCAGAGUAUAAAUUCAGAAUUGAUAUAUAAUCAAGAGAAGUUGAUGAUUAACAGAUUUGUCAUCCAAUUUUUAUAUUAUCCAAUUAAUAUUCUGAUACAUUGAAAUGUCAAUCCACACUUAAAAAAUCUUCAGUAGAAAUAUUAUUAGAACUAGAUCAAAUUUUACCAUGCAACUUAGGUAAUUACUUCUCUCUGGAAACUAAUCCAAAUUCUGGAGUCAGUAGCAUCAGCAGCAUGCAUAUCCAAACUCGUCAAUAGUCCUUGCAGAGAAACUCUCAUUAUAUGAAAGGGCAGAAAAUACAUGAUCCUCAUUUCCAAAAUUCUUCAAGGGUUUCCCUAGAUUAUGGGGUAUUUAAAAAAAUAGGUUUCAAGUAUAGGUCUUUUGAAAAUUAGCAUUGUAUGCUAUGCAUAAGAAAAACAUCUCAGCAGAUCCCAGCCAAUUACAUAGCGAAUAAUGUCCGCAGGCUGGUCUUGAACUCGUGAUCCUCCUGCCCGCACCUCCUGCAGCAAGUCCUACCAGUAUGUGUUACCACAACCAGCAAUAUUAUAGAUUUUAUUAUCUACCUGCUGGUGUCAGAAAGAUUUCCUUUAAAACUACUUAAUUUUUUUUGAAAGAGUCUCAUAGAGCCUAGGCUAGCUUCAAACACUCCCUGUAGCUAUGGGUGACCUUGAACUUUUGAUUUUUCUCUCUACUUCCUGAGUUCAUACGUAGGCUUACAGGUGUGAACUACUAUAGCUGGUUUCUGUUUUACUGGGUAUUGAAUCCAGGACUUCAUGCAAACUAGGUGUAAUUUUAGUUUAAUUAUCACUUUACAUAAGCUAGAGUUACCUGGGGGAUGGGCCACAGGGCAUGCCUGUGGAGGAUUUUAUGGCUUGACUGCUAUUGGAAGACCCAUCUUAAUUGUGAAAGAGACCAUGCCCUGGGGAAGAUCCUGUACCAUAUAGUGGAGAGAGCAAACUAGGCAACAGUAUGAAUUCUGCCCGUUUCCUCAUUGAGUAAAUACCAAUUGCUUCAGGCUCCUGCUAUCCUGACUUCUCGAAAGGCUGUUUGAACAGUGACCUGAAGUAAAUUCUUUCUCCCUUAAGUUGCUUUGGUGAGAGCACCUUCUCUUAGCAACAGGAAGGGAAACAGGCAAGCAGUGACUCAUGCCCAAGUCCACUGAUACUUUCAGUGUUCUACAAAACUCUUACGGGAACACAACUGAGAUGAAACGCAAAGGAUGGCAUGAACGUUUGGAAACGCACAUUUUCUCAGUGUUCACCCGCUGUAGUGUUGUGUAUAAGAACACAUGGUGGCAUUUCAGUUUGCAAGCUCAAUCCAGCCAUUCGUCAUUAACUUCCUGCAGUUUUACGGCUCCUCCCAUGAACAAGCACAAAUGGUCCUUUCUUCAUCCCAGUGCUUCUACUGCUCUGAAGUCUGUCUUCAAUAAAGGAAAGCUCAGACCCAGCAGAGUCUACCCUGCAAUGUGGGCGAUUUCUCUUGCUUCAAUUUUUAUUCUCCCUUUUGAAGGUGAGAUCUGAUUUUACACACGGGUAAAUACCCGGAGCUGAAGACACUUUCUCAGCAAAGGUCUGGCUUUCAGAUGGAGAAACAUCAUUUUCUAAUUCUUUGCAGCCUUGAUGUUUUCAUAAGAAGAAUAGGGCAGGAAAAGAACCUCAAAAUGAAGCCACAGAACAUGACACUUGGUCUUCCCUCAGAUUAUAAUCCAUCUGUUCCCUGAGAACCCAAGAGUUAAGUGCUUGUGAUUAGUGUCAUAGUCUGUCAACAUUGUUUUCUAAGCCUUAUUUCUGUCCUGGUAUUCAGCUCUUUUCUUUCUUUCUAUCUUUCUUCUUCUUCUUCUUCUUC